This 450-nucleotide ribosomal RNA is filed under the name uncultured bacterium. Its description in RNAcentral is "bacterial SSU rRNA". It matches the Rfam family "Bacterial small subunit ribosomal RNA", at positions 328 to 794 of the family's 1533-position model. The record is from RNAcentral.
UGGCCAGACUCCUACGGGAGGCAGCAGUGGGGAAUAUUGCACAAUGGGGGAAACCCUGAUGCAGCGACGCCGCGUGAGCGAUGAAGUAUUUCGGUCUGUAAAGCUCUAUCAGCAGGGAAGAAAAUGACAGUACCUGACUAAGAAGCCCCGGCUAACUACGUGCCAGCAGCCGCGGUAAUACGUAGGGGGCAAGCGUUAUCCGGAUUUACUGGGUGCAAAGGGAGCGUAGACGGCAUGGCAAGCCAGAUGUGAAAUACCGGGGCUCAACCCCGGGACUGCAUUUGGAACUGUUAAGCUGGAGUGUCGGAGAGGCAGGCGGAAUUCCUAGUGUAGCGGUGAAAUGCGUAGAUAUACGGAGGAACACCAGUGGCGAAGGCGGAUUGCUGGACAGUAACUGACGCUGAGGCGCGAAAGCGUGGGGAGCAAACAGGAUUAGAUACCCUGGUACAA